AUACAUGCAAGUAGAACGCUGAAGAGGAGCUUGCUUCUCUGGAUGAGUUGCGAACGGGUGAGUAACGCGUAGGUAACCAGCGUGGUAGCGGGGGAUAACUAUUGGAAACGAUAGCUAAUACCGCAUAAGAGUAGAUGUCGCAUGACAUUUACUUAAAAGGUGCAAUUGCAUCACUACCAGAUGGACCUGCGUUGUAUAGCUAGUUGGUGAGGUAACGGCUCACCAAGGCAACGAUACAUAGCCGACCUGAGAGGGUGAUCGGCCACACUGGGACUGAGACACGGCCCAGACUCCUACGGGAGGCAGCAGUAGGGAAUCUUCGGCAAUGGACGGAAGUCUGACCGAGCAACGCCGCGUGAGUGAAGAAGGUUUUCGGAUCGUAAAGCUCUGUUGUAAGAGAAGAACGAGUGUGAGAGUGAAAAGCU
This 425-nucleotide ribosomal RNA is filed under the name Streptococcus mitis. RNAcentral describes it as "bacterial SSU rRNA". It matches the Rfam family "Bacterial small subunit ribosomal RNA", at positions 51 to 468 of the family's 1533-position model. Lineage: Bacteria; Bacillati; Bacillota; Bacilli; Lactobacillales; Streptococcaceae. The record is from RNAcentral.